This 424-nucleotide ribosomal RNA is filed under the name uncultured Proteiniphilum sp. RNAcentral's name for it is "bacterial SSU rRNA". It matches the Rfam family "Bacterial small subunit ribosomal RNA", at positions 355 to 776 of the family's 1533-position model. The record is from RNAcentral. Lineage: Bacteria; Pseudomonadati; Bacteroidota; Bacteroidia; Bacteroidales; Dysgonomonadaceae.
UGAGGAAUAUUGGUCAAUGGAGGCAACUCUGAACCAGCCAAGUCGCGUGAAGGAAGACGGCCCUACGGGUUGUAAACUUCUUUUGUACAGGAAUAAAACCAUCCACGUGUGGAUAUUUGCAUGUACUGUACGAAUAAGGAUCGGCUAACUCCGUGCCAGCAGCCGCGGUAAUACGGAGGAUCCGAGCGUUAUCCGGAUUUAUUGGGUUUAAAGGGUGCGCAGGCGGGAUGUUAAGUCGGCGGUGAAAUUUUGCGGCUCAACCGUAAAAGUGCCUUCGAAACUGGCAUUCUUGAGUAUAGAUGAAGUAGGCGGAAUUUGUGGUGUAGCGGUGAAAUGCAUAGAUAUCACGAGGAACUCCGAUUGCGCAGGCAGCUUACUAAACUAUAACUGACGCUCAUGCACGAAGGCGUGGGGAUCAAACAGG